AUGACAAAUUCAAAUCUGGGUGAUCGGGAUUUGUAUUUGGUUUUCUUUUUCUUGUGUCCUCCCCCUCCCCACCUUUUACUAAAAACGGGGGCGGGGGCUGGACGGGGCAUUUCCUCCCAAAUCGAAUUCUGUCAUUCACGUAGCACCAAGGAGGCGCUUGCUACUGGUCUCUGGAGUAACCGACAUGCCAUUACACGAUGCAGUUCUGUUCAUGUGUGCAUUCUUUGUUCUAAGGAUGUAACCGCUGUUAAUGGCAAGGCUUGGCGGAUGUGGAGAACAGAGAUCCCAGUAACUCAGAACAGCCUCCCGAACAGAUUCCGUUCCUUCCACCCAUUUGUUAAAGCGUCGUUUGGCCCGAAAACGACAAUACCGAACGGACCGGAUAAACCCAAUCAAAGAUAAUGGAUUUUCCUCCCUCUUGGCCCCCACCCCUCUUACCCCCAGCAAACCUGCCGAGAUGUUGACAGUGACCAGUCUCAAAGAAAAGAAAAAGGGGGAGGGGGGAGAAAAACCCAGUUUCAUGCACUUUACUUUGCUUUUUUUUUUUAAUUUUUUAUUAAAAUAAUUUUUUUAAUUUGACAGAUUCUGCCUUCUCUGUAUAUAUGUGCAUAAAACGUUGUGUAAAUAUACUAAACAAACUUAUAUUUCAAUAAAAGGGGAUUUAAAGUUUAGAAUUUGGACAGCUUUAACUGUUUGAGGCACCUGAUCUCCCCUCACCCACCCUGAGUUGAGUAGGUAGCUGAGCUGAAUUCCUUCUGAUAAACAUCCAGUUCUGUAGAAAUCUGUCACAGUGACCUCAAAUGCUUGUAAAAACAAAGGGAUUUCCAGCAAUGUAGGUCAUUUUAGGGAGAAUUACUGAGAAUUUGUCUUUUCUUUGUUCAGCUCUUACCCAUUCUUCAUUCAGGACUGAGAAACAAGUUCUCCAAGUUCAGCCUGGGGAGUAAAGGGGAGAAGGAAAGAAAGCUUUCUAUUUCCUGACAAAGAAAACUUCAAUAAAAAGGAUUUGAGUGGAAUAUAUACCUGUUUUAAUCAUGUGACAGCCGUGACUGAACCAGACUUUCAGGUUUAAAAUUUGAUAGAUUCCCUUAAAAAAUAAUGAUGAUGUGUUAAAAGACUGUUUUCAGUUUUCCAGUUCUCUUCCCAUGGAAACACACAGAUAAUACAAUCAGCACAUACUGUAAAUGUGAGGAGGGAAGAACUAAUAGGAGCCAUAAAUAAAUCCUCUUUAAUCUCUCGGUAUGAAUUCUAAAUUCACCAAGCCAGAUCAUAGUUUCUUCAUCAUCCGCCUAAAUCCUGCUCUCUUGAAGGGACAGGAAGUGCUGUUAUUGAGCAUAAUCUUGUCUUCUCAGGGAAGCAAUGCUGACUCUUGAGCUUGAGAAGCUAGAAAUCGGCCACAAAAGGCAACAUGGCAAUACUUUCCUCAGAUCUCCAAGCUUGCAAAGCCUUUUUUAGGGUUUGGUAUUCAGCUUUUGUCUUGUUUUGGUUUUUAAUCAAAAGUAGAGUGUUAUAAUCAUUUUG
RNAcentral lists this long non-coding RNA (1518 nucleotides) under Sarcophilus harrisii (Tasmanian devil). RNAcentral's name for it is "lncRNA (ENSSHAG00000024381.1)". The record is from RNAcentral. Lineage: Eukaryota; Metazoa; Chordata; Mammalia; Dasyuromorphia; Dasyuridae.